This 852-nucleotide ribosomal RNA is filed under the name uncultured bacterium. RNAcentral's name for it is "bacterial SSU rRNA". It matches the Rfam family "Bacterial small subunit ribosomal RNA", at positions 10 to 904 of the family's 1533-position model. The record is from RNAcentral.
AGUUUGAUCCUGGCUCAGGAUGAACGCUGGCGGUCUGCUUAACACAUGCAAGUCGAACGGAGUGCUUCGGCACUUAGUGGCGGACGGGUGAGUAACGCGUGAGAAUCUGCCCUUAGGACGGGGACAACAGCUGGAAACGGCUGCUAAUACCCGAUGUGCCGAGAGGUGAAACAUUUUAUGGCCUGAGGAUGAGCUCGCGUCUGAUUAGCUAGUUGGUGGGGUAAGGGCCUACCAAGGCGACGAUCAGUAGCUGGUCUGAGAGGAUGAUCAGCCACACUGGGACUGAGACACGGCCCAGACUCCUACGGGAGGCAGCAGUGGGGAAUUUUCCGCAAUGGGCGCAAGCCUGACGGAGCAAGACCGCGUGCGGGGGGACGGCCUAUUGGUUGUAAACCGCUUUUGAUAGGGAGGAAGCACUGACGGUACCUAUCGAAUCAGCAUCGGCUAACUCCGUGCCAGCAGCCGCGGUAAUACGGAGGAUGCAAGCGUUAUCCGGAAUUAUUGGGCGUAAAGCGUCCGUAGGUGGUUGUUCAAGUCUGCUGUUAAAGCGUGCGGCUUAACCGCAUACCAGCAGUGGAAACUGGGCGACUAGAGUGCGGUAGGGGUCAGGGGAAUUCCCAGUGUAGCGGUGAAAUGCGUAGAUAUUGGGAAGAACACCGGUGGCGAAAGCGCCUGACUGGACCUGCACUGACACUGAGGGACGAAAGCUAGGGGAGCGAAAGGGAUUAGAUACCCCUGUAGUCCUAGCCGUAAACGAUGGACACUAGGUGUUGCCCGUAUCGACCCGGGCAGUGCCGUAGCCAACGCGUUAAGUGUCCCGCCUGGGGAGUACGCUCGCAGAGUGAAACUCAA